Vicia faba (fava bean) is the source of this 183-nucleotide non-coding RNA. The record is from the annotation of a GenBank genome assembly. NCBI's taxonomy places the organism in Eukaryota, Viridiplantae, Streptophyta, Magnoliopsida, Fabales, Fabaceae.
AUGAUGUUGUCGUGUCGUUCUAUGGGUAUAUUGACCCAACUCAUCAAGAUAACAACAUCUAGAGGCCAUACACUACUCAUCUGGACACUAUUUCAUCAACCACGUUUCAUUAUAUUACAAAUGACUAGCAUGUGCAAAUACAGGUAUCUGUCAAAGCGAUACAGACAAUUAGGAUUCAUAUAG